CACGUAGGGGGCAAGCGUUGUCCGGAUUUAUUGGGCGUAAAGAGCUCGUAGGCGGUUCGGUUAGUUGGGUGUGAAACCUCCAGGCUCAACCUGGAGACGCCACCCGAUACUGCUGUGACUAGAGUCCGGUAGGGGAGCGUGGAAUUCCUGGUGUAGCGGUGAAAUGCGCAGAUAUCAGGAGGAACACCAGCGGCGAAGGCGGCGCUCUGGGCCGGAACUGACGCUGAGGAGCGAAAGCGUGGGUAGCAAACAGG
This 254-nucleotide ribosomal RNA is filed under the name uncultured bacterium. RNAcentral's name for it is "partial 16S ribosomal RNA". It matches the Rfam family "Bacterial small subunit ribosomal RNA", at positions 524 to 776 of the family's 1533-position model. The record is from RNAcentral.